UUUAAGCGCAGUCAUAAAUUUCGAUGUCAACUUUGAUCGUCCGUCUUAUUUUAAACUAUUUUAUGAUUAAUACUUUUAUUGUUAAUAGAUCAUAAAACAUGAAUAUUACUUUAUGUGUGACUUAAAGUGUCUCAUUUUUUUAAAACAAAUUUAAAUAAUACAAACGAUUAAAAUUGGAUACGAAAACUACUUCAA
Molecule: non-coding RNA, 195 nt
Organism: Oryza glumipatula
Lineage: Eukaryota; Viridiplantae; Streptophyta; Magnoliopsida; Poales; Poaceae
Source: Rfam